GACAUUUUCAGGAUAAAAUGGAUUUCAGUUCAAGGAAUAAUAUUCAAGGUUGGGUGUGUUUUGUGGAUUGGUCAUGAUGAUGAAGAAACUCCAUGCUUUGUGGUCCUGAAGGAGAUAUGCAUAAUUGAGAGGAACUUGGAGAAGAUAUUGUUCAUUACUGACAUACUGUGCAUAGUGUUAUUUAAUGGCCAUUUAAAUGCAUAUGAGGUGAACAACACAGCAAGGUCAAAGAUAAUUGAACAAAAACAGCUACUAUAUCCUUUCCCACUACAUUUAGUCAAUGCUGUAUUUCAAGGAUAUGCCAAAAUGUUUGUGUGCCCAAAAUAUCAAAUGCCAGUUACAUAAACAUCAAGAUUAAUUAAUAAUCAAUAUACUUCUAGCAAAUCUGAGUAUAACAGCGUACAUCAGUGCUGUAAAUGCAAGAUAUUUUGGAGCGAUUAUUAUUUAUACGCAACACUGAACACUAUAAAGUUUUUAUAUAAAAGCAACACUAGAAUAUGUUUUUAUAAAAAUACAAACAAUAAACAUAAUAUACUGUUACUAUCAAUACUUACAUCCAAUUUACUUCUUUUGUUAUGUACGAUCAAAAUAUCUUUCGUAUCAAUGCAUAGUAGACUUCCUGGGCCACCAAUGUUGUUGUCUCAUUCCUUGCUCAGUGCAUUCCUCGAAUCCGCCAUUUUGUUUUUUUUCUUGCUACCUCAUCCAUGGGAGGUAAUAUCUACCCCUAUAUGAUCCCCCCGCCAUGUUACCCUUUAAUUAAUAUAUGUACCCCUGCCCCUGUAUAUUUAUCUGUUUAAAUUUUACCCUAAAUACAGGAGCAGCAAUGCGUGUUAAACAAAACUAUAAUUGAGAUUGCAUUAGGAAAGUAAAGCUUCUGGAUAUAAAUAAACUGAUGGUUGCCCUGAAAAAUUACGCGGUAUUAAUUAAAACUGUAGGCGGUGAAUUUGCAAGUAGCUCAUGCUUUAGCGCCAUACAUUUG
Molecule: non-coding RNA, 979 nt
Organism: Paramuricea clavata
Lineage: Eukaryota; Metazoa; Cnidaria; Anthozoa; Malacalcyonacea; Plexauridae
Source: the annotation of a GenBank genome assembly